RNAcentral lists this long non-coding RNA (1933 nucleotides) under Macaca fascicularis (crab-eating macaque). RNAcentral describes it as "lncRNA (ENSMFAG00000050899.1)". The record is from RNAcentral. Lineage: Eukaryota; Metazoa; Chordata; Mammalia; Primates; Cercopithecidae.
UUUUCUUUUUUUUUUUCUUUUUCUUUUUUUUUUUUUUGAGAUGGGGUCUUGCUCUAUUGCCCAGUAGUGAAUGCAGUGGCACAAUCACUGCUCGUUGCAGCCUCAGCUGCCCAGGCUCAAGCGAUCCUCCCACCUCAGCAACUGUAGCUGGGACCACAGUUGCGCAUCACCAUGCCUGGCUAAUGUUUUAAUUAUUUGUGAAGAUGAGGUCUUGCUAUGUUGCCCAGGCUGGUCUCAAAUUUCUGAGCUCAAGAAAUCCUCCCGCCACAGCCUCCCAAAGUGCUGAGGUUAUAGGCACGAGUUGCUGUACCUGGCCCUGCCUUGUCUCUCUCAGAUUUAUUAUCAUCAGACGUAGUAUAGAUGUACUCAUUUCAUUGUUUCCUUUCUGUUUCAAUCUCACGUGUUAGAACUUCAUUUUGUUCACUGCUGCAUCGCCAAUAUCUAAAAUAAUCCCCGGCACACGAUAGGUGCUCAAUAAAUAUUUGUUAAAUAGAUACAUCAAUGAAUCACAAUUAAUUAAAAAAUGCUGACAGAUAGGUUCUCCUCCUACUGUAGAAGUCCCCUCUUCUGCUGGGAUUCAAGUCCAUUAUAUAAGAUGGAUAAACAAAGACAGCAUGUUCAUAAGGUAGGUAUUUCCUAUGCCCUUUAAAUAGUAACGAGAAGUAACUCAGAAUGGCCUAAAAUGUCAUUUCAUUAAGUGGCAAAAUAACCUAGCUACCCAUAAGCAAGGGAUAUAUUAUAUAAUAGAAAGAAACACCAUAACAAGAUUAUCAUGACCCUAAAUAUAAUGAUUAUGUCUCUUUUAGACACACAUUUUUCAUUGUCAAGGUUUUUUUUACAGUAAUGUUAUUAUGACACUUAUGAUAUUCAAAACACUCAUAUAAUAAAAUUUUCUAAGACUUUCUAUUAAACAUUUCAAAGACUGUACCAUUGGAAAGAUCCUUCAGUUUUUUUCAAAAUUAUAUAUUCUAGAAAACCUAGUGCAUGCCCCUUACAGACUACUAAUAUUUUACAACCUCCUUGAUCCCAAAUGUUGUCAUAUUAAUAUGAAAAGCCACAAUGAAAACUUAAUAGUAAGAAAGGUCUGACUUACCAACAAUGCAAGAAUAUCUAAUAUGCUUUUGACAACAAAAACCUCACUUAGGUCUCUUAAUUAGAGGAAAUUUAUUAAAGAGCACAUAUUUGUCUCCAAAAACCCAAGGGAAAAGCAGACUUGGGAGGGACUGGAAAAUCUAAAACAGGAAAAUCUACAACAAGGUCAUUCUUUUGAUAUCUUCUUUUUUCUUGUCUCUCAGUAGAUUGAUGUCCUGUAUUUCUUUUCAGAUGUUUAGCCAGAUAUGACACCACUUUCUGGUUAUGUUCCUAACAAAGAGACUAUAUUGUAUCUGGUUUCUAAAGCCAUUUUUUUUUUAAAUAGAGAGAAUCAGAUUAGGCCAGCUAAGAUCAUCUUAUUUUUGUGUUUGAAAUCACAGAGGGAGUUGGGUCAUAUAAAAUAAAUGUGGCUGCAACAUUACACUUCUGCUAAAGACAGGGAGAAGUUUCCAGAAAAAGAUCAGGUGGGCUAGAUAGACACUACAAAAGGGAGCUAUGAUUUUUUAACUCUUGAGAUAAUCUAAUAAUCAUUAAAUAAUGCUCAUAUGGCGGGGCGAGGUGGCUCAUGCCUGUAAUCCCACACUUUGGGAGGCAGAGACGAGUGUAUCACUUGAGGUCAGGAGUUUGAGACCAGCCAAACUCCAGGAGCCACUUUGAGUUUGGCCAACAUGGAGAAACCCCAUCUCUACUAAAACAAGGGGCUUGUAAUCCCAGCUACUUGGGAGGCUGAGGCAGGAGAAUCACUUGAACCGGGGAAGCGAGGUUGCAGUGAGCGAGAUUGCGCCAUUGCACUCCAGCCUGGGCGACAAGAGUGAAACUCUGUCUCAAUAAUAAUAAUACU